This 467-nucleotide ribosomal RNA is filed under the name uncultured bacterium. RNAcentral's name for it is "partial 16S ribosomal RNA". It matches the Rfam family "Bacterial small subunit ribosomal RNA", at positions 28 to 507 of the family's 1533-position model. The record is from RNAcentral.
GACGAACGCUGGCGGCGUGCUUAACACAUGCAAGUCGAACGGAAAGGCCCUGCUUUUGUGGGGUGCUCGAGUGGCGAACGGGUGAGUAACACGUGAGCAACCUGCCCUUGACUUUGGGAUAACUUCAGGAAACUGGGGCUAAUACCGGAUAGGAGCUCCUGCUGCAUGGUGGGGGUUGGAAAGUUUCGGCGGUUGGGGAUGGACUCGCGGCUUAUCAGCUUGUUGGUGGGGUAGUGGCUUACCAAGGCUUUGACGGGUAGCCGGCCUGAGAGGGUGACCGGCCACAUUGGGCCUGAGAUACGGCCCAGCCUCCUACGGGCGGCAGCAGUGGGGAAUAUUGCACAAUGGGCGGACGCCUGAUGCAGCAACGCCGCGUGCGGAUGACGGCCUUCGGGUUGUAAACCGCUUUCGCCUGUGACGAAGCGUGAGUGACGGUAAUGGGUAAAGAAGCACCGGCUAACUACGUG